GACGAACGCUGGCGGCGUGCUUAACACAUGCAAGUCGAGCGGUAAGGCCCUUUCGGGGGUACACGAGCGGCGAACGGGUGAGUAACACGUGGGUGACCUGCCCUCAGCGUCUGGGAUAAGCCUGGGAAACUGGGUCUAAUACUGGAUAUGACUCCACGGUGCAUGUCGUGGGGUGGAAAGCCUUGUGCGGCUGAGGAUGGGCCCGCGGCCUAUCAGCUUGUUGGU
This 225-nucleotide ribosomal RNA is filed under the name uncultured bacterium. RNAcentral's name for it is "partial 16S ribosomal RNA". It matches the Rfam family "Bacterial small subunit ribosomal RNA", at positions 28 to 253 of the family's 1533-position model. The record is from RNAcentral.